CCUACGGGCGGCAGCAGUGGGGAAUAUUGGACAAUGGGGGCAACCCUGAUCCAGCCAUGCCGCGUGUGUGAAGAAGGCCCUCGGGUUGUAAAGCACUUUCAGUGAGGAAGAACGCCUGGUGGUUAAUACCCAUCGGGAAAGACAUCACUCACAGAAGAAGCACCGGCUAACUCCGUGCCAGCAGCCGCGGUAAUACGGAGGGUGCGAGCGUUAAUCGGAAUUACUGGGCGUAAAGCGCGCGUAGGUGGCUUGAUAAGCCGGUUGUGAAAGCCCCGGGCUCAACCUGGGAACGGCAUCCGGAACUGUCAAGCUAGAGUGCAGGAGAGGAAGGUAGAAUUCCCGGUGUAGCGGUGAAAUGCGUAGAGAUCGGGAGGAAUACCAGUGGCGAAGGCGGCCUUCUGGACUGACACUGACACUGAGGUGCGAAAGCGUGGGUAGCAAACAGGAUUAGAUACCCCAGUAGUC
Molecule: ribosomal RNA, 465 nt
Filed under: Vreelandella stevensii
Lineage: Bacteria; Pseudomonadati; Pseudomonadota; Gammaproteobacteria; Oceanospirillales; Halomonadaceae
Description: partial 16S ribosomal RNA
Rfam family: Bacterial small subunit ribosomal RNA
Source: RNAcentral